GAUGAAGAACGUAGCGAAAUGCGAUAAGUAAUGUGAAUUGCAGAAUUCAGUGAAUCAUCGAAUCUUUGAACGCACCUUGCGCUCCUUGGUAUUCCGAGGAGCAUGCCUGUUUGAGUGUCAUUGCUGCCCUCAAGCACGGCUUGUGUGUUGGGCCUCCGUCCUCCUCCCGGGGGACGGGCCCGAAAGGCAGCGGCGGCACCGCGUCCGGUCCUCGAGCGUAUGGGGCUUCGUCACCCGCUCUUGUAGGCCCGGCCGGCGCUUGCCGACACAUCAAUCUUUUUUCCAGGUUGACCUCGGAUCAGGUAGGGAUACCCGCUGAACUUAAGCAUAUCAAUAAGCGGAGGA
RNAcentral lists this unclassified non-coding RNA (345 nucleotides) under soil metagenome. RNAcentral describes it as "partial contains 5.8S ribosomal RNA, internal transcribed spacer 2, and large subunit ribosomal RNA". The stretch from base 1 to 120 matches the Rfam family "5.8S ribosomal RNA", at positions 35 to 154 of the family's 154-position model. The record is from RNAcentral.